RNAcentral lists this ribosomal RNA (468 nucleotides) under uncultured bacterium. Its description in RNAcentral is "partial 16S ribosomal RNA". It matches the Rfam family "Bacterial small subunit ribosomal RNA", at positions 28 to 507 of the family's 1533-position model. The record is from RNAcentral.
GACGAACGCUGGCGGCGUGCUUAACACAUGCAAGUCGAACGGAAAGGCCCUGCUUUUGUGGGGUGCUCGAGUGGCGAACGGGUGAGUAACACGUGAGUAACCUGCCCUUGACUUUGGGAUAACUUCAGGAAACUGGGGCUAAUAUCGGAUAGGAGCUCCUGCUCCAUGGUGGGGGUUGGAAAGAUUCGGCGGUUGGGGAUGGACUCGCGGCUUAUCAGCUUGUUGGUGGGGUAGUGGCUUACCAAGGCUUUGACGGGUAGCCGGCCUGAGAGGGUGACCGGCCACAAUAGGACUAAGAUACGGACCAGACUCCUACGGGAGGCAGCGGUCGAGAAUAUGGCGCAAUGGGCGGAAGCCUGAUGCAGCGACGCCGGGUGCGGGAUGACGGCCUUCGGGUUGUAAACCGCUUUCGCCUGUGACGAGGCGUGAGUGACGGUAAUGGGUAAGGAAGCACCGGCUAACUACGUG